AUUGAACGCUGGCGGCAGGCCUAACACAUGCAAGUCGAGCGGUUGAAGGGAGCUUGCUCCUGGAUUCAGCGGCGGACGGGUGAGUAAUGCCUAGGAAUCUGCCUGGUAGUGGGGGAUAACGUCCGGAAACGGGCGCUAAUACCGCAUACGUCCUGAGGGAGAAAGUGGGGGAUCUUCGGACCUCACGCUAUCAGAUGAGCCUAGGUCGGAUUAGCUAGUUGGUGGGGUAAAGGCCUACCAAGGCGACGAUCCGUAACUGGUCUGAGAGGAUGAUCAGUCACACUGGAACUGAGACACGGUCCAGACUCCUACGGGAGGCAGCAGUGGGGAAUAUUGGACAAUGGGCGAAAGCCUGAUCCAGCCACGCCGCGUGUGUGAAGAAGGUCUUCGGAUUGUAAAGCACUUUAAGUUGGGAGGAAGGGCAGUAAGUUAAUACCUUGCUGUUUUGACGUUACCAACAGAAUAAGCACCGGCUAACUUCGUG
RNAcentral lists this ribosomal RNA (484 nucleotides) under uncultured bacterium. RNAcentral describes it as "partial 16S ribosomal RNA". It matches the Rfam family "Bacterial small subunit ribosomal RNA", at positions 30 to 507 of the family's 1533-position model. The record is from RNAcentral.